This 1204-nucleotide ribosomal RNA is filed under the name Trichosporiella cerebriformis. RNAcentral's name for it is "LSU rRNA". It matches the Rfam family "Eukaryotic large subunit ribosomal RNA", at positions 76 to 1433 of the family's 3401-position model. Lineage: Eukaryota; Fungi; Ascomycota; Leotiomycetes; Helotiales; Dermateaceae. The record is from RNAcentral.
UGCCUCAGUAACGGCGAGUGAAGCGGCAAAAGCUCAAAUUUGAAAUCUGGCUCUUUUAGGGUCCGAGUUGUAAUUUGUAGAAGAUGUUUCGGGUGUGGCUCCGGUUUAAGUUCUUUGGAAUAUUACAUCAUAGAGGGUGAGAAUCCCGUAUGUGACCGGCAGCCUUCGCCUAUGUGAAACUCUUUCGACGAAGUUCGAGUUGUUUGGGAAUGCAGCUUCAAAAUGGGAGGUAUAUUUCUUCUAAAGCUAAAUAUUGGCCAGAGACCGAUAGCGCACAAAGUAGAGUGAUCGAAAGAUGAAAAGCACUUUGGAAAGAGAAGUUAAACAGUACGUGAAAUUGUUGAAAGGGAAAGCGCUUGCAACCAGACCUUGCACGCAGUUGAAUCAUCCGGUGUUCUCACCGGGGGCACUCUGCUGCGUUCAGGGCCAGCAUCGGUUUUGGUGGUUGGAUAAAGGCCUUGGGAAUGUGGCUUCCUUCGGGGGAGUGUUAUAGCCCUCGGUGCAAUGCAGCCUACCGGGACCGAGGACCGCGCUUCGGCUAGGAUGCUGGCGUAAUGGUUGUAAGCGACCCGUCUUGAAACACGGACCAAGGAGUCUAACAUCUAUGCGAGUGUUUGGGUGUUAAACCCAUACGCGUAAUGAAAGUGAACGGAGGUGAGAACCCUUAAGGGUGCAUCAUCGACCGGUCCUGAUGUCUUCGGAUGGAUCUGAGUAAGAGCAUAGCUGUUGGGACCCGAAAGAUGGUGAACUAUGCGUGAAUAGGGUGAAGCCAGAGGAAACUCUGGUGGAGGCUCGCAGCGGUUCUGACGUGCAAAUCGAUCGUCAAAUUUGCGCAUAGGGGCGAAAGACUUAUCGAACCAUUAAGGAAAUAACUACUAGGUGGUUAAGAGGCCAUAGUACGGGCCUAGUCCUUCACCGAGGGGCGACAUUGUCAAAUUGUUCGGGGACCUCCUGAAUAACUCUCAGACUACCGCAGCCUGCCCGAAAGGGAGGUGCGCACCGGGUUAACGACCCUGGGGAUGGUAAUAACGUCUGAGUAGGGAUGAUCCGCAGCCAAGUCCUACCGCCCCCCGGGGCCACGGAUGCAGUUCACAGACUUGAAGGCAGUGGGCUCUUUUAGAGCUUAAGAUAAAUUCGACCCCCCAGGAGACAGGGUAGGGGGAGGAGAGUGCGAUGCAUCCAGAUGCUCUAGGAUGCUGCGAGC